GUCAGAUUUGUUUCCUGCUGAUGUAGUAGAGACUUGUGUAACUGUGGGUGAACUUUGCUGAUUGAAUGUCGGGCAACCGAUUGCUUUUCUGGCCCUUUGCUUUCAAUAGGAAUGGAUUAGACCAGUCCCUUAGGUUUUGGUGGAAAUAUCAGUUCAGAUUCAAUUUCCCCAACAGAAGCGCAUUCCCUGCCCAUCCAAAGGGGUUGAAUGGCCUAAUUCCCAUCCAUGUAUGCAAGUUUGCU
Molecule: long non-coding RNA, 242 nt
Filed under: Setaria italica (foxtail millet)
Lineage: Eukaryota; Viridiplantae; Streptophyta; Magnoliopsida; Poales; Poaceae
Description: long non-coding RNA (SITA_LNC005939)
Source: RNAcentral